AUGCCUCUGUUCUGUGGCACAGGGGGACAGACUCAGACCGAGAGAUUAUGAAGAAGCUUCUCAUCACGGUCCUCUUUGUUGUGUUUCUUCUUGAUUGGAGCCUUGAAGACUCAGUGGAACAGUCAGUGGAUGCAAUGACGGUCAAAGAAGACAGUACUAUUACCCUAAACUGUACUGUGAAAACGAGCAGUGUAUUACCGGUUGUUUUCUGGUACAGGCAGCGCCCCAGCCAGCGACCACAGUAUUUGUUUAGGAUUAACGCAGGAAAAGUAUACCGAAGUGAAGAUGCAGCCGACCGAUUCAAUGCUUCCUACAAUAAAAGUGAAAAAUAUACCGAACUAUCGAUUAAAAACGCCAUCAUCUCCGACUCAGUCAUGUACCUCUGCGCGAUGAGCCCACGGUGCUGA
Hypanus sabinus (Atlantic stingray) is the source of this 407-nucleotide non-coding RNA. NCBI's taxonomy places the organism in Eukaryota, Metazoa, Chordata, Chondrichthyes, Myliobatiformes, Dasyatidae. The record is from the annotation of a RefSeq genome assembly.